CCUACGGGAGGCAGCAGUGGGGAAUAUUGGACAAUGGGGGGAACCCUGAUCCAGCGACGCCGCGUGAGUGAAGAAGUAUUUCGGUAUGUAAAGCUCUAUCAGCAGGGAAGAAAGAAAUGACGGUACCUGACUAAGAAGCCCCGGCUAACUACGUGCCAGCAGCCGCGGUAAUACGUAGGGGGCAAGCGUUAUCCGGAUUUACUGGGUGUAAAGGGAGCGUAGACGGCGAUGCAAGUCUGAAGUGAAAGGCGGGGGCCCAACCCCCGGACUGCUUUGGAAACUGUAUGGCUGGAGUGAAGGAGAGGUAAGUGGACUUCCUAGUGUAGCGGUGAAAUGCGUAGAUAUUAGGAGGAACACCAGUGGCGAAGGCGGCUUACUGGACUGUAACUGACGUUGAGGCUCGAAAGCGUGAGGAGCAAACAGGAUUAGAUACCCCGGUAGUC
This 443-nucleotide ribosomal RNA is filed under the name uncultured bacterium. RNAcentral describes it as "partial 16S ribosomal RNA". It matches the Rfam family "Bacterial small subunit ribosomal RNA", at positions 338 to 795 of the family's 1533-position model. The record is from RNAcentral.